UAAGGGCGCACGGUGGAUGCCUUGGCACUAGAAGCCGAUGAAGGACGUUACUAACGACGAUAUGCUUUGGGGAGCUGUAAGUAAGCUUUGAUCCAGAGAUUUCCGAAUGGGGAAACCCAGCAUGAGUUAUGUCAUGUUAUCGAUAUGUGAAUACAUAGCAUAUCAGAAGGCACACCCGGAGAACUGAAACAUCUUAGUACCCGGAGGAAGAGAAAGAAAAUUCGAUUCCCUUAGUAGCGGCGAGCGAAACGGGAAGAGCCCAAACCAACAAGCUUGCUUGUUGGGGUUGUAGGACACUCUAUACGGAGUUACAAAGGACGACAUUAGACGAAUCAUCUGGAAAGAUGAAUCAAAGAAGGUAAUAAUCCUGUAGUCGAAAAUGUUGUCUCUCUUGAGUGGAUCCUGAGUACGACGGAGCACGUGAAAUUCCGUCGGAAUCUGGGAGGACCAUCUCCUAAGGCUAAAUACUCUCUAGUGACCGAUAGUGAACCAGUACCGUGAGGGAAAGGUGAAAAGCACCCCGGAAGGGGAGUGAAAUAGAACCUGAAACCGUGUGCUUACAAGUAGUCAGAGCCCGUUAAUGGGUGAUGGCGUGCCUUUUGUAGAAUGAACCGGCGAGUUACGAUUUGAUGCAAGGUUAAGCAGUAAAUGUGGAGCCGUAGCGAAAGCGAGUCUGAAUAGGGCGUUUAGUAUUUGGUCGUAGACCCGAAACCAGGUGAUCUACCCUUGGUCAGGUUGAAGUUCAGGUAACACUGAAUGGAGGACCGAACCGACUUACGUUGAAAAGUGAGCGGAUGAACUGAGGGUAGCGGAGAAAUUCCAAUCGAACCUGGAGAUAGCUGGUUCUCUCCGAAAUAGCUUUAGGGCUAGCCUCAAGUGAUGAUUAUUGGAGGUAGAGCACUGUUUGGACGAGGGGCCCCUCUCGGGUUACCGAAUUCAGACAAACUCCGAAUGCCAAUUAAUUUAACUUGGGAGUCAGAACAUGGGUGAUAAGGUCCGUGUUCGAAAGGGAAACAGCCCAGACCACCAGCUAAGGUCCCAAAAUAUAUGUUAAGUGGAAAAGGAUGUGGCGUUGCCCAGACAACUAGGAUGUUGGCUUAGAAGCAGCCAUCAUUUAAAGAGUGCGUAAUAGCUCACUAGUCGAGUGACACUGCGCCGAAAAUGUACCGGGGCUAAACAUAUUACCGAAGCUGUGGAUUGUCCUUUGGACAAUGGUAGGAGAGCGUUCUAAGGGCGUUGAAGCAUGAUCGUAAGGACAUGUGGAGCGCUUAGAAGUGAGAAUGCCGGUGUGAGUAGCGAAAGACGGGUGAGAAUCCCGUCCACCGAUUGACUAAGGUUUCCAGAGGAAGGCUCGUCCGCUCUGGGUUAGUCGGGUCCUAAGCUGAGGCCGACAGGCGUAGGCGAUGGAUAACAGGUUGAUAUUCCUGUACCACCUAUAAUCGUUUUAAUCGAUGGGGGGACGCAGUAGGAUAGG
This 1474-nucleotide ribosomal RNA is filed under the name Staphylococcus aureus. Its description in RNAcentral is "partial 23S ribosomal RNA". It matches the Rfam family "Bacterial large subunit ribosomal RNA", at positions 12 to 1486 of the family's 2925-position model. The record is from RNAcentral. Lineage: Bacteria; Bacillati; Bacillota; Bacilli; Caryophanales; Staphylococcaceae.